UCCAUAUCCGGGCCGAAUCUCGCGGGCGGAUAGCCGCGCCGCGGGAACGGGGGACCCACUCCUCGGGGGCUAAUCUCGGACGAUAUCCGAGAGGGAUGCACGCUUCUCUGCCAUCCUGCCCGUCAGCUAACCCCGUAGGCUAACGCAGAGAAGGCCA
RNAcentral lists this small RNA (157 nucleotides) under Hydrogenibacillus schlegelii. RNAcentral describes it as "c-di-AMP sequence". It matches the Rfam family "c-di-AMP riboswitch aptamer (ydaO/yuaA leader)". Rfam says of the family: This family represents a conserved RNA structure found upstream of the ydaO and yuaA genes in Bacillus subtilis and related genes in other bacteria. The ydaO/yuaA element is thought to act as a genetic "off" switch for the ydaO and yuaA genes in its native state. It is believed that the element may be triggered during osmotic shock leading to activation of ydaO, a predicted amino acid transporter gene, and members of the yuaA-yubG operon which code for KtrA and KtrB K+ transporters. Lineage: Bacteria; Bacillati; Bacillota; Bacilli; Thermicanales; Thermicanaceae. The record is from Rfam by way of RNAcentral.